This 868-nucleotide ribosomal RNA is filed under the name uncultured archaeon. Its description in RNAcentral is "bacterial SSU rRNA". It matches the Rfam family "Archaeal small subunit ribosomal RNA", at positions 1 to 878 of the family's 1478-position model. The record is from RNAcentral.
CUCCGGUUGAUCCUGCCGGACCCGACUGCUAUCAGAGUGAGAUUAAGCCAUGCGAGUUAACGUAGCAAUACGUGGCGCACGGCUCAGUAACACGUAGUCAACAUGCCCAGAGGACGUGGAUAACCUCGGGAAACUGAGUCUAAACCGCGAUAAGUGAGGAUUUCUGGAAUGGUUCCUGACCAAAAUCUAUAUGGCCCCUGGAUUGGACUGCGGCCGAUCAGGCUGUUGGUGAGGUAAUGGCCCACCAAACCUGUAACCGGUACGGGCUCUGAGAGGAGGAGCCCGGAGAUGGGCACUGAGACAAGGGCCCAGGCCCUAUGGGGCGCAGCAGGCGCGAAACCUCUGCAAUAGGCGAAAGCUUGACAGGAUUACUCUGAGUGAUUUCCGUUAAGGAGAUCUUUUGGCACCUCUAAAAAUGGCGCAGAAUAAGGGGUGGGCAAGUCUGGUGUCAGCCGCCGCGGUAAUACCAGCACCCCGAGUGGUCGGGACGUUUAUUGGGCCUAAAGCAUCCGUAGCCGGUUCUACAAGUCUUCCGUUAAAUCCACCUGCUUAACAGAUGGGCUGCGGAAGAUACUAUAGAGCUAGGAGGCGGGAGAGGCAAGCGGUACUCGAUGGGUAGGGGUAAAAUCCGUUGAUCCAUUGAAGACCACCAGUGGCGAAGGCGGCUUGCCAGAACGCGCUCGACGGUGAGGGAUGAAAGCUGGGGGAGCAAACCGGAUUAGAUACCCGGGUAGUCCCAGCUGUAAACGAUGCAGACUCGGUGAUGAGUUGGCUUAUUGCUAACUCAGUGCCGCAGGGAAGCCGUUAAGUUUGCCGCCUGGGGAGUACGGUCGCAAGACUGAAACUUAAAGGAAUUGGCGGGGGAGCA